AUGAAGAGUAAAAAGAACUCACCAGUGUCCAGAAAGGCUAGCAGCCAAGCUGUAAACAAAGAGAAAUCUCCCACCAUUCAGAAAGUUGGCAGCUUAGCUCUGAAGCAUAAAGAGAUUUCCAAGAUCUUACUGGGCUUCGGAGUGAAAACUGCUGAAAACCAACAGAAAUAUGAGCUCAUCCUGGGCUGGUAAGCUACAGGCCAUGACAUCCACAGAGCACUGUGCUGAUCCAUGAGUAAUAUAGCUGGGAGGCCCCCAACCCCAUCCACCUCACUGUGGACCCAAGCCUCCAGAACGGCCGCAUGAGCAUCAAAGCCUAUGUUAGCACUUUAAUGGGUGCUCCUGGGAGGACCAUGGGAGUGAUGUUCGCACUUCUGACAGUGAAAUACACAUACUAUGACACUGAACACAUUGGAGUUGGCCUGACUAUGAAAGCCUCCUUUAGCCCCAACCGAGUGACUGGACUUUCAGCGACUUGCAGCAAGUAGGAGGGGCAUCAGCUCACAUCCAAGAUGCCUCGAACACAGUGUUGCAAUAUGCAAAGGAUGUACUGUCUGCAAACGUGCCAGCUGACAAUACUGUGGGCCGCUUCCUGAUGAGCCUGGUUAACCAAGCACCCAAAAUAGUUCCCAAUGACUUCAAGACCAUACUCAACAGCAACAUCAAUGACCUACCUGGCCAACCUCAGACAGUCACAGAUUGCCCUCAAACAGAAACUUGUAAACCUGUGAAUUGACCCCAAUCAGAACACCUGCCGGUCUAGGUCUCAACCCCAGGACUCAGAAGUGAAGGAGAAAUGGUUUUUUUGUGGUCUUGAGUCACACUGAGACAGUCAACUGCUUGUGACUCUAAUAAACAUAGCCUACCUUUUGUAAA
Sapajus apella (tufted capuchin) is the source of this 876-nucleotide RNA transcript. It is a transcript of the gene named eukaryotic translation initiation factor 3 subunit F pseudogene, with no coding region annotated. The transcript has 2 exons. NCBI's taxonomy places the organism in Eukaryota, Metazoa, Chordata, Mammalia, Primates, Cebidae. The record is from RefSeq and is a predicted model, not a curated record.